UGUUAAAAAUUUAUUUAUUUCUACAGUUAAAAAUUGAUAUAAUUGACAAAAUAACCAGACAAUUAUAAAUGACGUGUCACAUAUAUCUCAUUCUGUUGUACAGAGAUUAAUUUUUAAUAAUAAAAGUAAAUAAAUAUUUUAACA
Gossypium raimondii (Peruvian cotton) is the source of this 144-nucleotide non-coding RNA. NCBI's taxonomy places the organism in Eukaryota, Viridiplantae, Streptophyta, Magnoliopsida, Malvales, Malvaceae. The record is from Rfam.